This 478-nucleotide ribosomal RNA is filed under the name uncultured bacterium. RNAcentral describes it as "partial 16S ribosomal RNA". It matches the Rfam family "Bacterial small subunit ribosomal RNA", at positions 28 to 523 of the family's 1533-position model. The record is from RNAcentral.
GACGAACGCUGGCGGCGUGCUGAACACAUGCAAGUCGAACGGUAAGGCCCUUCGGGGUACACGAGUGGCGAACGGGUGAGUAACACGUGGGUGAUCUGACCUGCACUUCGGGAUAAGCCUGGGAAACUGGGUCUAAUACCGGAUAGGACCACUGCCUGCAUGGGUGGUGGUGGAAAGCUUUUGCGGUGUGGGAUGGGCCCGCGGCCUAUCAGCUUGUUGGUGGGGUGAUGGCCUACCAAGGCGACGACGGGUAGCCGGCCUGAGAGGGUGACCGGCCGAACUGGGGCUGAGAGACGGCCCAGGCUCCUACGGGAGGCAGCAGUGGGGAAUAUUGCACAAUGGGCGCAAGCCUGAUGCAGCGACGCCGCGUGAGGGAUGACGGCCUUCGGGUUGUAAACCUCUUUCAGCACCGACGAAGCGCAAGUGACGGUAGGUGCAGAAGAAGGACCGGCCAACUACGUGCCAGCAGCCGCAGUAA